Molecule: ribosomal RNA, 254 nt
Filed under: uncultured bacterium
Lineage: Bacteria
Description: partial 16S ribosomal RNA
Rfam family: Bacterial small subunit ribosomal RNA
Source: RNAcentral
UACGUAGGGUGCGAGCGUUAAUCGGAAUUACUGGGCGUAAAGCGCGUGUAGGCGGCUUGAUAAGUCUGGCGUGAAAGCCUGAAGCUCAACUUCAGAAGUGCGCUGGAAACUAUCGAGCUUGAGUACUGGAGGGGGAAGGGGAAUUCUCGGGUGUAGAGGUGAAAUUCGUAGAUAUCCGGAAGAACAUCAGUGGCGAAGGCGCCUUCCUGGACAGAUACUGACGCUGAGACGCGAAAGCGUGGGGAGCAAACAGG